This 230-nucleotide ribosomal RNA is filed under the name uncultured bacterium. RNAcentral's name for it is "partial 16S ribosomal RNA". The stretch from base 122 to 230 matches the Rfam family "Bacterial small subunit ribosomal RNA", at positions 401 to 526 of the family's 1533-position model. The record is from RNAcentral.
CGCCCUCCCGUCCCGCCCGCCACACACGACCUACCGGUACGGGGCGGACGGCGAGGUAGGGGAAGGUUAAGUUAGGUAACGUAAGUAGGGCGGCGAACGCCUCGACUCCACGCCAUGCCGCGUGAGUGAUGAAGGCCGUAGGGUUGUAAGCUCUUUGUUGUCGGGAAGGAGUAAUGGCGGUACCGCAAGAAUAAGCCCGACUAACUUCGUGCCAGCAGCCGCGGUAAUAC